UACGUAGGGUGCAAGCGUUAAUCGGAAUUACUGGGCGUAAAGCGUGCGCAGGCGGUGAUGUAAGACAGGUGUGAAAUCCCCGGGCUUAACCUGGGAACUGCAUUGGUGACUGGCAGGCUUUGAGUGUGGCAGAGGGAGGUAGAAUUCCACGUGUAGCAGUGAAAUGCGUAGAGAUGUGGAGGAAUACCGAUGGCGAAGGCAGCCUCCUGGGCCAACACUGACGCUCAUGCACGAAAGCGUGGGGAGCGAACAGG
RNAcentral lists this ribosomal RNA (254 nucleotides) under uncultured bacterium. RNAcentral's name for it is "partial 16S ribosomal RNA". It matches the Rfam family "Bacterial small subunit ribosomal RNA", at positions 524 to 776 of the family's 1533-position model. The record is from RNAcentral.